RNAcentral lists this ribosomal RNA (486 nucleotides) under Neisseria subflava. RNAcentral describes it as "bacterial SSU rRNA". It matches the Rfam family "Bacterial small subunit ribosomal RNA", at positions 30 to 503 of the family's 1533-position model. The record is from RNAcentral. Lineage: Bacteria; Pseudomonadati; Pseudomonadota; Betaproteobacteria; Neisseriales; Neisseriaceae.
AUUGAACGCUGGCGGCAUGCUUUACACAUGCAAGUCGGACGGCAGCACAGAGAAGCUUGCUUCUUGGGUGGCGAGUGGCGAACGGGUGAGUAAUAUAUCGGAACGUACCGAGUAAUGGGGGAUAACUAAUCGAAAGAUUAGCUAAUACCGCAUAUUCUCUGAGGAGGAAAGCAGGGGACCUUCGGGCCUUGCGUUAUUCGAGCGGCCGAUAUCUGAUUAGCUAGUUGGUGGGGUAAAGGCCUACCAAGGCAACGAUCAGUAGCGGGUCUGAGAAGAUGAUCCGCCACACUGGGACUAAGACACGGCCCAGACUCCUACGGGAGGCAGCAGUGGGGAAUUUUGGACAAUGGGCGCAAGCCUGAUCCAGCCAUACCGCGUGUCUGAAGAAGGCCUUCGGGUUGUAAAGGACUUUUGUCAGGGAAGAAAAGGAUAGGGUUAAUACCCCUGUCUGAUGACGGUACCUGAAGAAUAAGCACCGGCUAAUAC